This is a long non-coding RNA of Hyaena hyaena (striped hyena), 159 nucleotides long. RefSeq lists it as uncharacterized. NCBI's taxonomy places the organism in Eukaryota, Metazoa, Chordata, Mammalia, Carnivora, Hyaenidae. The record is from RefSeq and is a predicted model, not a curated record. The transcript is spliced from 2 exons.
AGAAGCUAGAGAAUUUCAAUUAAGCUAUAGUCUUAACACCUUCCAGCACCUACAAAUUUGAAAGUUAUCAAGUACAGAAGUAUUGCCCAUUUGCCUGAGAAGAUGUUGACUUUUGGCCAUGUUACAAGCUUACAAGUGAGAGAAAAAGGUUCCACCUUG